CUCUAAUGAGACUGCCGGUGACAAACCGGAGGAAGGUGGGGAUGACGUCAAGUCCUCAUGGCCCUUAUAGGUGGGGCUGCACACGUCAUACAAUGGCUGGUACAGAGGGUUGCCAACCCGCGAGGGGGAGCCAAUCCCAUAAAGCCAGUCGUAGUCCGGAUCGCAGUCUGCAACUCGACUGCGUGAAGUCGGAAUCGCUAGUAAUCGCGGAUCAGAAUGUCGCGGUGAAUACGUUCCCGGGUCUUGUACACACCGCCCGUCACACCAUGGGAGCGGGUUCUGCCAGAAGUAGUUAGCCUAACCGCAAGGAGGGCGAUUACCACGGCAGGGUUCGUGACUGGGGUGAAGUCGUAACAAGGUAACC
This 364-nucleotide ribosomal RNA is filed under the name uncultured bacterium. Its description in RNAcentral is "bacterial SSU rRNA". It matches the Rfam family "Bacterial small subunit ribosomal RNA", at positions 1138 to 1501 of the family's 1533-position model. The record is from RNAcentral.